AGUGUUUCCAUUAUGAUGGUUCCUGAGGCCCAGGACAUGCCCCUCCUAGCGCCCGCCCCGCCCGCGCGAUGCCCGGCAGUAACCCCGAGGCGCACGGCAGCCUAGACGCCUUCAACUAGCUCGAUUCCUCUGAGAUCUGUUGAAGUAAUGAGAAAGGAAACUGAGACCCAGGGAGUUCCAGAAACCUGCUCGAGAGUAAAUAACAGAAUUGCAAAGAGCUGGAGAGAGCAGCAGGUGUCCUCCCUUCCUGAAGGAGCCUUGGAGACAGAGGAAAGGAAAUAGAAGUAAGUGGGCCAGCCUCCUCCCACUCCCAUCUCUUUCCAAGAAUCUGCUCCCUUGAGUGUCUCAGGGAGUUGGAAUGUCACCGCCUCAUGGGUCCUCCACUGAGUUGCUGCUCAGGCUGAUUAAAACAAAGGCUGCAAUUGGGCUACCCUUGCCCGAAAGUAACCCUGUCUGCAUGCCUUGCUGAGGUGACCAGGGGAGACGUGGGGGCUGUUGGAUGCCUCUGUUGCCAUUGGCAAGAAGAUGGCUGCCUGGAACUUGAAUCAUUACCCUGUUGAGAGUCCCACAUGCUGAGAGCUUUGAACAUACUUGAACCCUGAGCUGGAUGGUUAUAAUUGAAUUCUCCUGUGACCCUCUCGAGUCUUGUGCAAUAAUUGAUCGCUGGUUUUCGGAGGAUAAAACUGAGGCUCUAAGAAAGUGAUUCCCUACCUCCUACAACAAGUGAAAAGCUGAGACUCAGCGCCUCCCAUGGCUCUGGGUCUUCAGAUCCAACACUUGCUGGGGGUUAGUAGAGGUGGUUUGGAAAACCAUCUGUAGAUUUUCUCCUUUGUUAUCACAGGAAAUUUUAAAUGAGAAGGUCCAGCAAGUGAUGUCCUCCUUCCAGAUGAAUGACUUUCAUCAGGGAUGCACAUAGAAGAGGGCGGAGAGUGAAGUUGGUUGCAGUGCCUGCAACUGUGCUUGGCACAUAGUAUGUGCUCAUAAAAACAUUUCCUAAGUGAUUGACUAAAGGAGAGGAAUAGAUGGAAGUAGGAGCAGAGGCAUUUCAGUCUGAUAUACCAAUGUAUCUGUUAGUGAAAGGUUUACUGGCCUUAGAACACCAUUGGUAAAUAUACUGAGAACGGAUGAAGCAAAGCCCUGGUCUACAUCUUUCUGGUUCAUUUGCUCUCACUGAGCCUCUUGUGAUUUUUGCUGCUGUUUUUUCACUGGGAAGGACCUUUCACUUCAUUCUUUCAGAAGCCACUACUUUUUGAAGAGGAGGAGGAG
This 1266-nucleotide long non-coding RNA is filed under the name Mus spicilegus (steppe mouse). RNAcentral's name for it is "lncRNA (ENSMSIG00000004996.1)". The record is from RNAcentral. Lineage: Eukaryota; Metazoa; Chordata; Mammalia; Rodentia; Muridae.